AAGCUCAAAGAUGAAGACGGGCACCAGCACUGAGGCUCUGCUGACCGCUUGUCUCUAAUUCUUGCCUGACACAGACAUUCCCUGCCCAGGGAAGUGUUUGAUUUAUGUUGAGGUUUGAGUGUCGGGAUUUUGCUGACAGGUAGGUUCCCGGCAGCGCUGGUGCUGAUUGGCUAUGGGUACAGGUGCCGGCGACAGCAGGUAUGCCUCAACAGGUGCAGCUGUUAACUCUUGGCCUGCCGCGUUGGGGGCGGAGCCAAGGGGGCCGGCUGGGUGGAGCUGGCCAAUUCCUUCCUAGGUGAGGGGGUGGGAGGUGGAGAAGAGGGAGGAGAGAGGGAGGGGAAAAAAAUGUUGGAGAGAAGAUAGAGGAAAAGUACAGAGACAGAUACUUGGCCAAAGGUCGAUUUCUGUUUCUAGUUAGUAUCCUGGAUACUUGGGAACAUCCCCUCAAUUCCUUUGCCCCUUCCUCUACCCAGCAUCAAUACUUCAGUCACUGGGGAAUUCUCAGAGAGCUGAUCUCCCCGCCCCACCCCCACCGUAUUGGGGGGGGGGGGGGAGUCCUGUGUGUAAAUUCCCUUUGUUUUUCAGAGCUUUCCCCUUAAGAUAACAGUAUGUUAUUUUUGAAUAAUCUUACAGUUAUUCAAGUGAGUUCUUUUGAUUCUCACAGUAACCCACCGUGGCUGAUAUUAUUACGUGGCUGAUAUUAUUACGGCACCCCCUUCCUUCCCAACACACUUAACAGAUGUUAUUGGUGGCAGGAGAGCCAUUUGGUGCCAGCUGUAACUGCAAAGCUCACUGCGGCCCAAGGGAUGGCACACUGGUCUGCCGCCUCCUGGAAGGCUGGGAGUUUCUGUCAGCUGUGUUGCAACUCACAGUGCUUUGGAUGGGAAGAAUCAUUAUGGGGUCUAAAACUGUCCUCAAAGCGUCCCUUUAAAAAAGCCAAGAGAAGGUUUGAAUACCUGGAAAACAAGCAGGCAAGUGUUGUUUGUUUGUUUGUUUGUUUGUUUCACUUACCAAGUGAUAAAGAUGAAAGAAAAUGCCAAACCCCAGUGUUGUUAAGGGUGAGGGAACAGGCUCUCUCCUUGCUGGAGGGAAUGUGAAUCAGUCCAAACGUGGGCUUUAGAUUUUAGCUCAUUUUGGAUCUAGCAGUUUCACUCAUAAGAAUUUAGUCUAAGCAAAGUAAUCUCUGUGGUGCAAAGAGUUAUCUGCAAGGUUAUGCAUCAGAGCACCGUUUAUAAUCCUGAAAAAUUAGAGUUAAUAUACAUACCCUUCAACAGAAGCUCAGUGACGAAUAAGAUACCCGAAUGUAGUUGUACACUGAGCCAGUUUGAAAGGAGGCCCGUAAAGUUAUUCACUGAGUU
This 1358-nucleotide long non-coding RNA is filed under the name Felis catus (domestic cat). Its description in RNAcentral is "lncRNA (ENSFCAG00000050154.1)". The record is from RNAcentral. Lineage: Eukaryota; Metazoa; Chordata; Mammalia; Carnivora; Felidae.